RNAcentral lists this non-coding RNA (25 nucleotides) under Cricetulus griseus (Chinese hamster). Lineage: Eukaryota; Metazoa; Chordata; Mammalia; Rodentia; Cricetidae. The record is from RNAcentral.
CUGUCUAUAACUCCAGUUCCAGGGG